GUGAGUGAGUGGAUGAGUGGGUGAGGUGGUGAGGUGGUGAGUGAGGUGAUGAGGUGGUGAGUGGGUGAGGGAUUGCGAGCAGACACCACGGGCUGGCCAUGAAUGACCGAUCCGUCUUGGUGGUUGUCCGCUGCCAUUGUGAAUGGCCACGCCCGGUGGCUCCACUCAUCGUCGUCUUUGCCACGGCUCGUGUUUGUGCUACGCCGCGCUUAAACUAAAGACAAAGAUUCUCCCCG
Petromyzon marinus (sea lamprey) is the source of this 236-nucleotide non-coding RNA. Lineage: Eukaryota; Metazoa; Chordata; Hyperoartia; Petromyzontiformes; Petromyzontidae. The record is from RefSeq and is a predicted model, not a curated record.